Molecule: ribosomal RNA, 404 nt
Filed under: Verrucomicrobiota bacterium
Lineage: Bacteria; Pseudomonadati; Verrucomicrobiota
Description: Verrucomicrobia bacterium partial 16S ribosomal RNA
Rfam family: Bacterial small subunit ribosomal RNA
Source: RNAcentral
UGGGGAAUAUUGCACAAUGGGGGAAACCCUGAUGCAGCGACGCCGCGUGAGCGAAGAAGGCUUUCGAGUCGUAAAGCUCUGUCCUAUGAGAAGAUAAUGACGGUAUCAUAGGAGGAAGCCCUGGCUAAAUACGUGCCAGCAGCCGCGGUAAUACGUAUGGGGCUAGCGUUGUUCGGAUUUACUGGGCGUAAAGCGCACGUAGGCGGACUUUUAAGUCAGGGGUGAAAUCCCGGGGCUCAACCCCGGAACUGCCUUUGAUACUGGAAGUCUUGAGUAUGGUAGAGGUGAGUGGAAUUCCGAGUGUAGAGGUGAAAUUCGUAGAUAUUCGGAGGAACACCAGUGGCGAAGGCGGCUCACUGGACCAUUACUGACGCUGAGGUGCGAAAGCGUGGGGAGCAAACAGG